GAGUUUAUAGCAUAUAUAGUGUGUUGAAUUGCAGAUUCAAAGGUGUAUUAAUUUACUAAACUCU
RNAcentral lists this transfer RNA (64 nucleotides) under Stylochoplana maculata. RNAcentral's name for it is "tRNA-Cys". Lineage: Eukaryota; Metazoa; Platyhelminthes; Polycladida; Leptoplanidae. The record is from RNAcentral.